UACGUAGGGGGCGAGCGUUGUCCGGAUUUAUUGGGCGUAAAGAGCUCGUAGGCGGUUUGGCAAGUCGGGUGUGAAAACUCCGGGCUCAACUCGGAGACGCCACUCGAUACUGCUAUGACUCGAGUCCGGUAGGGGAGUGCGGAAUUCCUGGUGUAGCGGUGAAAUGCGCAGAUAUCAGGAGGAACACCGGUGGCGAAGGCGGCACUCUGGGCCGGUACUGACGCUGAGGGGCGAAAGCGUGGGGAGCGAACAGG
RNAcentral lists this ribosomal RNA (254 nucleotides) under uncultured bacterium. Its description in RNAcentral is "partial 16S ribosomal RNA". It matches the Rfam family "Bacterial small subunit ribosomal RNA", at positions 524 to 776 of the family's 1533-position model. The record is from RNAcentral.